Molecule: ribosomal RNA, 372 nt
Filed under: uncultured bacterium
Lineage: Bacteria
Description: bacterial SSU rRNA
Rfam family: Bacterial small subunit ribosomal RNA
Source: RNAcentral
GUAAUACAUCGGAACAUGCCCAGUCGUGGGGGAUAACACUUCGAAAGAAGUGCUAAUACCGCAUACGUCCUGAGGGAGAAAGCGGGGGAUCGCAAGACCUCGCGCGAUUGGAGUGGCCGAUGUCAGAUUAGCUAGUUGGUGGGGUAAAGGCCUACCAAGGCAACGAUCUGUAGCUGGUCUGAGAGGAUGAUCAGCCACACUGGGACUGAGACACGGCCCAGACUCCUACGGGAGGCAGCAGUGGGGAAUUUUGGACAAUGGGGGCAACCCUGAUCCAGCCAUUCCGCGUGAGUGAAGAAGGCACUCGGGUUGUAAAGCUCUUUCGGCAGGAACGAAACGGCGAGCUCUAACAUAGCUCGCUAAUGACGGUAC